This is a ribosomal RNA of 780 nucleotides. The stretch from base 472 to 625 matches the Rfam family "5.8S ribosomal RNA".
CUCUUGGUCAUUUAGAGGAAGUAAAAGUCGUAACAAGGUUUCUGUAGACAAGGAAUAGCUUAUCGGUAAGCAUGUUCACCUUUGAAGCCUUGAAUCUCCCAGUCUGCUUUUAAUGCAGGCAACAUCAGUCUGUUGCUGAGACCUUUCAUGUUGAAUAUCAGCAGCCGCUUUACUACCUUGUUUUGCGGUUCACAGAUCAAACACUGGUGGCCUAUUUACUCAUGGGUUAAAAUAUGACCGGCGUCACCUUGAAAUAGGUCACACGUUUUGCGUUCCGUAGGUGAACCUGCGGAAGGAUCAUUACAGAGUUAGGGUCUUUCAGGCCUAACCUCCACCCUGUGUGUACCUAUCUUCGUUGCUUUGGCAGGCCUGUCGAGGUAACUCACCGGUGGCUACAGGCUGCUGAGCGCCUGUCAAAGACCCAUCAAACCCUGUGAUUUGUGAUGUCCGAGUACCGAUACAAUCAUUGAAAACUUUCAACAACGGAUCUCUUGGUUCUGGCAUCGAUGAAGAACGCAGCGAAAUGCGAUAAGUAAUGUGAAUUGCAGAAUUCAGUGAAUCAUCGAAUCUUUGAACGCACAUUGCGCCCUUCGGUAUUCCGGAGGGCAUGCCUGUUCGAGCGUCAUUACACCACUCAAGCUUGGCUUGGUAUUGGGCUCUCAUUCUAGAUGGAUGUGCCCGGAAAGCAGUGGCGGCACAGCCCGGCUUCAGGUAGUAUUAGCAUACCUUUUGCCUUGAAAGUCCGGGCCUGAGUCUGCCGGACAACCCCCAUUUGUCUCA